RNAcentral lists this ribosomal RNA (764 nucleotides) under uncultured bacterium. RNAcentral describes it as "bacterial SSU rRNA". It matches the Rfam family "Bacterial small subunit ribosomal RNA", at positions 60 to 824 of the family's 1533-position model. The record is from RNAcentral.
AGUCGAGCGAAGCGGUUUUAAGGAAGUUUUCGGAUGGAAUUAAAACUGACUGAGCGGCGGACGGGUGAGUAACGCGUGGGUAACCUGCCUCAUACAGGGGGAUAACAGUUAGAAAUGGCUGCUAAUACCGCAUAAGCACACAGCUUCGCAUGGAGCAGUGUGAAAAACUCCGGUGGUAUGAGAUGGACCCGCGUCUGAUUAGCUAGUUGGUAAGGUAACGGCUUACCAAGGCGACGAUCAGUAGCCGACCUGAGAGGGUGACCGGCCACAUUGGGACUGAGACACGGCCCAAACUCCUACGGGAGGCAGCAGUGGGGAAUAUUGCACAAUGGGGGAAACCCUGAUGCAGCGACGCCGCGUGAGUGAUGAAGUAUUUCGGUAUGUAAAGCUCUAUCAGCAGGGAAGAAAAUGACGGUACCUGACUAAGAAGCCCCGGCUAACUACGUGCCAGCAGCCGCGGUAAUACGUAGGGGGCAAGCGUUAUCCGGAUUUACUGGGUGUAAAGGGAGCGUAGACGGAACAGCAAGUCUGAUGUGAAAACCCGGGGCUCAACCCCGGGACUGCAUUGGAAACUGUUGAUCUAGAGUGUCGGAGAGGUAAGUGGAAUUCCUAGUGUAGCGGUGAAAUGCGUAGAUAUUAGGAGGAACACCAGUGGCGAAGGCGGCUUACUGGACGAUGACUGACGUUGAGGCUCGAAAGCGUGGGGAGCAAACAGGAUUAGAUACCCUGGUAGUCCACGCCGUAAACGAUGACUACUAGGUGUC